UGCCAGCACAUGGGAGAGAAGCAGCCAAAUGGUAGAACAAAGCACCACAGUGACUUUUCUGAUACUCUGCAAAUCAUGAUUUUUUUCCCCAGCCUAUAAUUUCUGUUCUGAGACAUGAUUUAGAGAUCUCUUUGUUACCAUCACACAAGUCACUGUCCUCCAGGACUCCAAAGGUGACUUGGCUCAGGUUGAGAUUUGCAGGGAUGGAGGCUACAAUUUUCCUGGCAGCUGCCUCCAGCUAAUGGUAUCCUGUCCAUCCAGGGGAACAUGGGCACCUUCAGCAUACCUCUAGUGCCAGUCAGCCCUCCUGUUACCCAGCUUGGGGUAUAGCUGCUGUGCUUCUUUCCUAAAUACCCACAGUGUGAAUCCAGAUCUCCUCCCCGUGCAGUGUAAGAAACCAGUCCAGGCAUGCUCUCAAGCCUUCAGCCAGAAAGCCAGGAUGGCCACAGGACUCAUUACCCUCGCAGCAAAACAUCAGAGAUGUCUUUAUUAAAUUAGCCUUUCUCAGAAAGGCUUUCCCAAACAUGGAGAGCAGCAGAAAGCCUCAAAGAAGCCUAUUCCCUGAUCUCCUUCCAAAGUCACCUACUUAAAGGAUCAUCUCAUAAUGGGGACUGAUUGCCUGUUUGAUCUCAGCGAGCCUCAGUUUCACAGGAAACCACACAGGUACCUCAGGGCCACCGCAGCAACACUUAUGACUGGGAGUAUUUGUGCAUACAUGGAUUCUCGCACAGUAUUUGUUCUGCAGUUAAACACCUUAAAUAACCCUUAGAAAUUAUUCUGGCUGUAUUUAAAAGUGGUAGCGUAGCAACUGAUUUUUUUUUUUUCCAAACAGUGAGGGAAGUGAGUUCUAAUCCUCUUGAGGGUGCUGUUUAUUAAAAUUUCCACCAUGGAAAUUACAGAGUAUCUUCCUCUUUCCCGAAACAAUUCUGAACUAAUUGCAACAGAAACAUUUUAUUUGGUUGAGAUACAGAAAAUGAAGAAAACUUUAUUUUUCCUUUUUUUCCUUUUUUUCUUUUUUUUUUUUUUUCAGCAGUGCGGUGACGAGGAGCUGGUGUUCUGUGGCCCAACUAGGACUGCCCUUUCCUUUGGCUGUCGAGGACUGCACUCGAUGGGAAGAGUUCUGCUUGUAGCCCAUGUUGCUCAAGCAGGGGAACUAAAACAAGCACCACUCUGCCAACCCGUACAGGUUUUGGAUAAUCCUGUCAGCAAGGGAAAAACAGGAGUAGCUAUGACCCAGAAAUAAACAAGUAGAUGCUCACAGCAUUCAAAAGGAUGACUCCUUGUCUCCAGUAGUACGAAGUAGCUUCUGAUUUGAGUGAGAAGAUGGAAACUGGGAGGAAAGGGAAGUUGACGGUGCUCCUGCCAGCUGUUGGAGUGAUGCUGCAACACCCCAACCAGGGCUGGCUGCUGGAAGAACAACAGAGAAGCGAGGUGUGAGAGUAUUAUUGGCCAUGGAAGUCCUUCUUUGUUGUAUAAACUUUUUUUUUUUUUUUUUUAAUGUCAGUAUACUUCCUUUUUUAGGUUACCAUGACACUGAGAGAACACUGAACUGCAUUUUGAAACAGGCUUCCUGGUCCAGCGGUACUGAAUAUAGGCUGAUACCUCAGACAAGGUAAGUAAAGCCGGGAGAAAACAAGAAUCCUUCAUCCCCAAAGGAGAUGGGGGAAUGGGGUUGCUUCAGCACUCCCUGUCACAUGGAGGAGGAAGGUGGGGAGUUGCACGGGUUCUGAGUCUGAACAAAAGCAGGUAGUCACCUGUGACUACUUGGAAGAGGUUUUGCUGGAGGGCCCUUAUGAGCACAGCUUGAUGCUAGUUCUCUUGGCCUCUCCCUUGGUGCUGAUGGCUGUAACUCUGGGUGUCUAGGAAGAAAAUGAUUUCAGUCACUAUUUUGUCCCUUGAAAAGCUUUAUCUGAUAAUCAAAUUUAUGAUUUGCUUAGUAACAUAGAAAAGCUUCAGUUGGGACUGUAA
This is a long non-coding RNA of Cairina moschata (Muscovy duck), 1968 nucleotides long. NCBI's taxonomy places the organism in Eukaryota, Metazoa, Chordata, Aves, Anseriformes, Anatidae. The record is from Ensembl.